This 472-nucleotide ribosomal RNA is filed under the name uncultured bacterium. RNAcentral's name for it is "partial 16S ribosomal RNA". It matches the Rfam family "Bacterial small subunit ribosomal RNA", at positions 28 to 507 of the family's 1533-position model. The record is from RNAcentral.
GACGAACGCUGGCGGCGUGCUUAACACAUGCAAGUCGAACGCUGAAGCUUGGUGCUUGCACUGGGUGGAUGAGUGGCGAGCGGGUGAGUAAUACGUGAGUAACCUGCCCUUGACUCUGGGAUAAGCCUGGGAAACUGGGUCUAAUACUGGAUAUGACAUGCCACUGCAUGGUGGUGUGUGGAAAGGGUUUUACUGGUUUUGGAUGGGCUCACGGCCUAUCAGCUUAUUGGUGGGGUAAUGGCCUACCAAGGCGACGACGGGUAGCCGGCCUGAGAGGGUGACCGGCCACACUGGGACUGAGACACGGCCCAGACUCCUACGGGAGGCAGCAGUGGGGAAUAUUGCACAAUGGGCGGAAGCCUGAUGCAGCGACGCCGCGUGAGGGAUGACGGCCUUCGGGUUGUAAACCUCUUUCAGCACGGAAGAAGCGAGAGUGACGGUACGUGCAGAAGAAGCGCCGGCUAACUACGUG